ACAUGCAAGUCGAACGAGACCUUCGGGUCUAGUGGCGCACGGGUGCGUAACGCGUGGGAAUCUGCCCUUAGGUACGGAAUAACUCAGAGAAAUUUGUGCUAAUACCGUAUGAUGUUGAAAGACCAAAGAUUUAUCGCCUAAGGAUGAGCCCGCGUAAGAUUAGCUUGUUGGUGAGGUAAAAGCUCACCAAGGCGACGAUCUUUAGCUGGUCUGAGAGGAUGAUCAGCCACACUGGGACUGAGACACGGCCCAGACUCCUACGGGAGGCAGCAGUGGGGAAUAUUGGACAAUGGGCGAAAGCCUGAUCCAGCAAUGCCGCGUGAGUGAUGAAGGCCUUAGGGUUGUAAAGCUCUUUUACCAGGGAUGAUAAUGACAGUACCUGGAGAAUAAGCUCCGGCUAACUCCGUGCCAGCAGCCGCGGUAAUACGGAGGGAGCUAGCGUUGUUCGGAAUUACUGGGCGUAAAGAGUACGUAGGCGGUGAUUCAAGUCAGAGGUGAAAGCCUGGAGCUCAACUCCAGAACUGCCUUUGAAACUAGAUCGCUAGAAUUGUGGAGAGGUUAGUGGAAUUCCGAGUGU
This 577-nucleotide ribosomal RNA is filed under the name uncultured Sphingomonas sp. Its description in RNAcentral is "bacterial SSU rRNA". It matches the Rfam family "Bacterial small subunit ribosomal RNA", at positions 53 to 676 of the family's 1533-position model. The record is from RNAcentral. Lineage: Bacteria; Pseudomonadati; Pseudomonadota; Alphaproteobacteria; Sphingomonadales; Sphingomonadaceae.